ACUCUUAAAAAAAAUGAGAAGCUAGCUAUCCAGUGCCCACAGAGACUUACGUAGACUUUCAGAAAGUACCUUGUUUUUCAUAAAUAUUUAAGAAAUAUAUUUCAAGAUGCUACUUACUGGCUUACUUUCUGUGAGAAGGGACAACAAAAGCCACAUGCUUCUUUGCUCCUUCAGGUAAAUGGCAUUUCUCACUUCUGACCUUUGCUACGGUUGGAAAUCUGUUUCAUCUUUCCCAAAUGGUGGUUUUCCUGUGUAGAGCAGUGAGGUUUUGCAGUAAUGAAUUAAAUAUGUAAGUGUGUGUGUGUGUACACACAUGUUUAUGUAUUUAAAAAGGAGCUGGAGGAAACGGCCGUUCACAAACUGUCUCAAAUAUUGUUACUGUACUCUGGGAGGCAGGUGUGCAGAAGAGUAAUCAGUAGUUAGCUAUUUAUAUCCUGCGUGCUCUAAUCUGUUCCAUAUCUUUAUAAAAGCUUUCAUAUCACACCUUCAUAUACAUCACUAAAGCCAUAUAAUAGACACUAACCUCUAGCAAUGAGAAAAUAAACCUAGAUUAUCACCAGCAGACCAAGCGACAUAAACCAAAUUGAAGUAAUUACCUCUGAAUGAUCUCAACAGAGUGACUGAAAAUUAAGUCUGAGCUGCCCUCUGUGCUCUACAGGAGACAGGGCACUGUGGGAGCACACAGCUCCCGCCGAUGCUAUCAGCAAAGGCCUGCCGAGCUCUCUCGUCACCUCCGCAACACUUCACUCCUUGCAAAUUCUCUGUCUACUUCUAAAAUGCAUUUAGCUACUGUACUGGUAUUCUAGCAAGGUAAACAUAUUUGCCUUUGGAAAGUUGUAUGUCCUUGCUCUUUCACUAAGAUGGUGAGGGUCUUUAAAUACUUUUUCACUUUUGUAUCAACAGAAUAUUUUAGAGACAUGAACAUUAGUUUCACCUGCUGCCUUACAGAGGAUGGAGACAAAAACUCCAAGGUUUUCCUCCCUAUCCUAAGGACUGAGAAUUUGACAGCCAGGACGCCGCAUGCGGCAGCACUGAGGUCCCUGCCCCUCUGUGGCUCCAUUGGCAUAAUAAAGAAGGAAGAUCUUUGUGAUGUAAACCUCCCUGCACUAAUGUAGAUUUCCUCGCACCAUUGUACAUGUGGCAUUUAAACUGGCCGUGUCCACUAGAGACUUUUCAAGCCUGUUGGCUCAUACCACACCUGGAAAUGGAAAUGCUUUUAAUUUCUGCAGUGCCACAGCUGUUCUAUUUUAAAUGGACCAGCCUUAAAACGGCUACACCUGGUGGAGCCUGGCACAUGGAACAUGGCUGUUGAAGAGGCUGAAACUUUUAAUGCAUUGUGAUAAGCAGAAACUAAAUACCAUGAAAUAAAACGUGGUCAAGAAGUACUUGCUCUUUUUUA
Molecule: long non-coding RNA, 1399 nt
Filed under: Anser brachyrhynchus (Pink-footed goose)
Lineage: Eukaryota; Metazoa; Chordata; Aves; Anseriformes; Anatidae
Description: lncRNA (ENSABRG00000005282.1)
Source: RNAcentral